ACAGAUCUCAAAGAAUCAAUAGACCGGAAACACUGAUGUCUCUCUCCUAUCAAAGGUGUACCACGAUUACUUUUUCGGGAGCAGUUUUAAAGGGAUGCCUCUGUUCUGACAUAAAGGCAGGCUCUCCACUGAGUGUGGAGCUUCUUGGUGUGCCGGCUUCAUUCAUAAUUCAAAAUAACUGCACAACGGCUGACACGUGGUAGCUGAUGAUGCUCUUAUGUUGGUCAGAGUCUCAGUAUGAACCAGAAUCAACAGUCACGUAGUGUUCCUGUGACUCAGCUGGUUCUGAAAAACAUCUUUCACUGGCUGGAGUUAUUUGAAAGCAACAAUGUGCCCACACUGUGCCCAUGUGUUGUAGGUUACAGAGGAAAGAAAAGUGCAAUGUGAGUCUCUUUAUCAAAUAGCUAAGUGCAACAAUAAUAUAUAGCAAGUAAAGAAACUAGAUUUCACACGUUUUCUUUAUAGCCUUGAAAGUUUUUAUUCUCUGCACUGCACACGUUUUAUCUUGGAGAAGACUCUCCUGUUCUGUGUGACACCGGAGUUCCCUGUGGGGGAACGAGCUGCCAUCUGAAACUAAACUUUUACACCAGAGUUAUCGCAUAUGUGCAGGAUUUUAUUCAAACAUGAAAACACAAGCACAACUAGCUGCCGGAGCUGAAGGACAUUUUUCUCAUAUCGUGUGGUUGAUUACUUCCAGUGUGCUUCUAAUUUGAAGAGGAAUUCAUAACCUCGUCUCCGUUGUAACCCUGAUACUGUAAUAUGAAACUCAAUUAAACUCCACUAGGUUUGUGCUGAA
This is a long non-coding RNA of Acanthopagrus latus (yellowfin seabream), 796 nucleotides long. RefSeq lists it as uncharacterized. NCBI's taxonomy places the organism in Eukaryota, Metazoa, Chordata, Actinopteri, Spariformes, Sparidae. The record is from RefSeq and is a predicted model, not a curated record. The transcript has 2 exons.